RNAcentral lists this ribosomal RNA (497 nucleotides) under uncultured bacterium. RNAcentral's name for it is "partial 16S ribosomal RNA". It matches the Rfam family "Bacterial small subunit ribosomal RNA", at positions 28 to 507 of the family's 1533-position model. The record is from RNAcentral.
GAUGAACGCUGGCGGCGUGCCUAAUACAUGCAAGUCGAGCGAACAGACGAGGAGCUUGCUCCUCUGACGUUAGCGGCGGACGGGUGAGUAACACGUGGAUAACCUACCUAUAAGACUGGGAUAACUUCGGGAAACCGGAGCUAAUACCGGAUAAUAUAUUGAACCGCAUGGUUCAAUAGUGAAAGACGGUUUUGCUGUCACUUAUAGAUGGAUCCGCGCCGCAUUAGCUAGUUGGUAAGGUAACGGCUUACCAAGGCAACGAUGCGUAGCCGACCUGAGAGGGUGAUCGGCCACACUAGAACUGAGACACGGUCCAGACUCCUACGGGAGGCAGCAGUAGGGAAUCUUCCGCAAUGGGGGAAAGCCUGACGGAGCAACGCCGCGUGAGUGAUGAAGGUCUUCGGAUCGUAAAACUCUGUUAUUAGGGAAGAACAAAUGUGUAAGUAACUAUGCACGUCUUGACGGUACCUAAUCAGAAAGCCACGGCUAACUACGUG